GACGAAGGUGGCUAGCGUUGCUCGGAUUUACUGGGCAUAAAGCGCGCGUAGGUGGUCGUGUAAGCGGGGGAUGAAAGCCCAUGGCUCACCCAUGGAACUGUCCCCCGGACUGCACGGCUCGAGGAAGGAAGGGGAGAAUGGAAUUCCCGGUGUAGCGGUGAAAUGCGUAGAUAUCGGGAGGAACGCCGGUGGCGAAAGCGAUUCUCUGGUCCUUUCCUGACACUGAGGCGCGAAAGCUAGGGGAGCAAACAGGAUUAGAUACCCUGGUAGUCCUAGCUGUAAACGAUGGGCACUAGGUAGAGGGGGUGUCGAUACUCUCUCUGUCGUAGCAAAUGUGUUAAGUGCCCCGCCUGGGGAGUACGGUCGCAAGGCUAAA
This 376-nucleotide ribosomal RNA is filed under the name uncultured bacterium. RNAcentral describes it as "bacterial SSU rRNA". It matches the Rfam family "Bacterial small subunit ribosomal RNA", at positions 524 to 898 of the family's 1533-position model. The record is from RNAcentral.